Molecule: ribosomal RNA, 1066 nt
Filed under: Isachenkonia alkalipeptolytica
Lineage: Bacteria; Bacillati; Bacillota; Clostridia; Eubacteriales; Clostridiaceae
Description: Bacterial large subunit ribosomal RNA
Rfam family: Bacterial large subunit ribosomal RNA
Source: Rfam by way of RNAcentral
GGGCGAAUAGUUUGGCGACAUAGACCCGAAACCGAGCGACCUAUCCAUGGACAGGAUGAAGCGAAAGUAAAAUUUCGUGGAGGUCCGAACCGCCUGACGUUGAAAAGUCAUCGGAUGAUCUGUGGAUAGCGGUGAAAUUCCAAUCGAGCUCGGAGAUAGCUGGUUCUCGUCGAAAUAGCUUUAGGGCUAGCCUCAGAAUAAAGAGUAGCGGGGGUAGAGCACUGAAUGGUCUAGGGGUCAAUAUUGGCUACCAAAACCUAUCAAACUCCGAAUACCGUGUACUUGAUUUCUGGGAGUCAGACUAUGUGUGAUAAGAUUCAUAGUCGAGAGGGAAAGAGCCCAGACCAACCGCUAAGGUCCCAAAGUAUAUGUUAAGUGGAAAAGGAUGUAGAGUUGCAUAGACAAUCAGGAUGUUGGCUUAGAAGCAGCCAUUCAUUUAAAGAGUGCGUAAUAGCUCACUGAUCCAGGAACUUUGCGCCUAAGAUUUCCGGGGCUAAAACAUAUCACCGAAGCGAUGGACUCGAAAGAGUGGUAGACGAGCAUUCUAUGUGGGCAGAAGCUAUACCGUGAGGAGUGGUGGACUGCAUAGAAGCGAGAAUGUUGGCAUGAGUAACGAGAGGCAGGUGAGAAACCUGCCCGCCGAAAACCCAAGGAUUCCUGAGGAAGGCUUGUCCGCUCAGGGUUAGUCGGGACCUAAGCCGAGGCCGAAAGGCGUAGGCGAUGGAUAACAGGUGGAGAUUCCUGUACCACCGAAGGUUGUUUGAGAGAUGUGGGGACACAGAAGGAUAGGCAGAGCGCACCGUUGGUUGAGUGCGUCCAAGCCCGUAGAGAGUCUGGGGAGGCAAAUCCCCCCGGAUGUUAAUCUCAAGAGGUGAUGGGGAGCGAAAUUUUAAGUAGCGAAGCUGUUGACUCCAAGCUGUCGAGAAAAGCCACUAUCGAGACCUAAGGUGCCCGUACCGUAAACCGACACAGGUGGGUGAGGAGAGAAUCCUAAGGCGAACGGGAGAACUAUUGUUAAGGAAUUCGGCAAAAUGACUCCGUAACUUCGGGAGAAGGAGUGCCGAAG